RNAcentral lists this ribosomal RNA (550 nucleotides) under uncultured bacterium. RNAcentral's name for it is "bacterial SSU rRNA". It matches the Rfam family "Bacterial small subunit ribosomal RNA", at positions 94 to 640 of the family's 1533-position model. The record is from RNAcentral.
AGCGGCGGACGGGUGAGUAAUGCUUAGGAAUUUGCCCAGUCGAGGGGGACAACAGUUGGAAACGACUGCUAAUACCGCAUACGCCCUACGGGGGAAAGCAGGGGCUCUUCGGACCUUGCGCGAUUGGAUAAGCCUAAGUGAGAUUAGCUAGUUGGUGAGGUAAUGGCUCACCAAGGCGACGAUCUCUAGCUGGUUUGAGAGGAUGAUCAGCCACACUGGGACUGAGACACGGCCCAGACUCCUACGGGAGGCAGCAGUGGGGAAUAUUGCACAAUGGGCGAAAGCCUGAUGCAGCCAUGCCGCGUGUGUGAAGAAGGCCUUCGGGUUGUAAAGCACUUUCAGCGAGGAGGAAAGGUUAGUGGUUAAUACCCGCUAGCUGUGACGUUACUCGCAGAAGAAGCACCGGCUAACUCCGUGCCAGCAGCCGCGGUAAUACGGAGGGUGCGAGCGUUAAUCGGAAUUACUGGGCGUAAAGCGCAUGCAGGCGGCCAAGUCAGUCAGAUGUGAAAGCCCCGGGCUUAACCUGGGAAUUGCAUUUGAUACUGCUUGG